UCCUAACCUUAUUUUUUUGGAAAGCAUAUUUUGAAUUUCUG
RNAcentral lists this non-coding RNA (41 nucleotides) under Plasmodium falciparum 3D7. Lineage: Eukaryota; Apicomplexa; Aconoidasida; Haemosporida; Plasmodiidae. The record is from RNAcentral.